GACGAACGCUGGCGGCGUGCUUAACACAUGCAAGUCGAACGGAAAGGCCCUGCUUUUGUGGGGUGCUCGAGUGGCGAACGGGUGAGUAACACGUGAGUAACCUGCCCUUGACUUUGGGAUAACUUCAGGAAACUGGGGCUAAUACCGGAUAGGAGCUCCUGCUGCAUGGUGGGGGUGGGAAAGUUUCGGCGGUUGGGGAUGGACUCGCGGCUUAUCAGCUUGUUGGUGGGGUAGUGGCUUACCAAGGCUUUGACGGGUAGCCGGCCUGAGAGGGUGACCGGCCACAUUGGGACUGAGAUACGGCCCAGACUCCUACGGGAGGCAGCAGUGGGGAAUAUUGCACAGUGGGCGGAAGCCUGAUGCAGCAACGCCGCGUGCGGGAUGACGGCCUUCGGGUUGUAAACCGCUUUCGCCUGUGACGAAGCGUGAGUGACGGUAAUGGGUAAAGAAGCACCGGCUAACUACGUG
RNAcentral lists this ribosomal RNA (468 nucleotides) under uncultured bacterium. RNAcentral's name for it is "partial 16S ribosomal RNA". It matches the Rfam family "Bacterial small subunit ribosomal RNA", at positions 28 to 507 of the family's 1533-position model. The record is from RNAcentral.